RNAcentral lists this transfer RNA (83 nucleotides) under Octopus vulgaris (common octopus). It matches the Rfam family "tRNA". From Rfam's summary of the family: Transfer RNA (tRNA) molecules are approximately 80 nucleotides in length. RNAcentral also lists the same sequence under 1 other name. The record is from Rfam by way of RNAcentral. Lineage: Eukaryota; Metazoa; Mollusca; Cephalopoda; Octopoda; Octopodidae.
AGCACGAUGGCCGAGUGGUUAAGGCGUUGGACUUAAGUUCCAAUGAACGAUUGUCCGCGUGGGUUCGAACCCCACUCGUGCUA